ACUGUUUUAAUGCUCCACCCGCCAAGCAUGCUAAGUGACACAAAUCAAGCGCACCCAGGAAGUUACGUGGACAGGUGAAAGCUGGAACUGGCUGCAAAAUGCGCAUGGUGGAUCCUCCAGUGGUUUCUUCUGUGACUUCUGUAACUUCUGUAACUUUUACUUUCAGAGAGGAGGUAAUGAGGUACUGGGCCAGGUUGAUGCUGACCGGUGUUCCUGUGAUAGUGACAUGGCGGUCGCUCGUCCCGUCCAGCUGGCUGCCGAUCUUGAUCUGUGCCCCUGAUACCUGCCUGAUCUCGUUGAUCUUGGUGCCCUGACGGCCGAUGAUUGAGCCGAUCAGCUGCAGAAGAACACAGGCAGAGACAGAUCGCUGAGUUUGAUGGGGAAAGCUGACAUGCUUUACAAGAUGGGGAAAUACUAACAACACGAAGAAUAAAAAUGCAUGAGUUGCUUCUGCUUACAUCAUUGGGAAUAAGCAGCUCCUGAGAUGUCUGAGAAUUGGAGUCCAUCCCUGAAGAGAGAAAAAAACACCAGCACCGACUGAAUAAAAUUGACAUAUCUGACAUUCUGAUAUUCAUUCAACUCUUUUAGUAAGUGAAGCCACACAAACUGGCAUUGAUAGGCUGGAAAAAAGCCUUUGAGCGGGGAACAGCUAGAUAUAGUAAAGCAGUUAAUUUCCAUUUUAAUGGACUGAUGUUUAACACGGCACUCAUUCUUUUCCUUCUCCCAGUUCUCUGACUCUGCGGAACGUAUCAUUUCACAUAAUAGUUUCUAUGAGAGAGAGCGAGAGCUAUAAAGCCUCGUCUCCUCCUUCCUCACUGACAUAAGCACAUUAUCAGUGCUGCUAAUGACAGCGAGCCUUUCUUUCUCAGGUCUAAAGGAAGGUUGGAAAUUUAUGAUAAGUUACAGAUGGAGGAGGGAUGGCAAAACUCUGCGAGCUGCUUAUUUUAUUUGAAAACUGUUUAUUUUAUCAUUCGUAUGACUCUCUGAGUAAUGGGAUGUAAUUGAGAGCAGAUAGGGAUUAUUUUUACUGCUUUACUUACCAGGUAUGAUAGUCGAAGCAGGCUGGGCCAUUGGACUCAGGCCUUGCUGCACUGACAGCUGAUGUAGCUUGGCCAUCUGUAAAAGGGAGAACACAACUUAAUGCACUGUACAAUAAACUAUAAACGACUCAUGUUAUAUGAAAUCAUAAUAUUUCCACAAAUGGUCCUGCCGUACCUCUGAGUGUGGAAUGCCAUAUUGGUUUUGCAAAGUGUAGGCCUGAAAGAGAGCAUCCUGCAUUAGGUAAAUUACAGCAAUAAAACAUCACAUGGGCAAUAAAUCUGCAGCCUCCUAAUGGAAGUGCUUCACUGUCAAUACAUGCCGGUUUUGUUUUUCAGAAUAAGAGAAAUGAGCAUUCGCAGUUCAGCCCUGAAAUGUACAUACUUUGUGAUACACUUAUAACAGCCUCUGCCAAUGCAGGUUUUCAUUUUAAAUAUCCAAAUGGAGUGAAUUGAAUUUUGCCUGUGGUUCCCAUAGCAUUAAAACAUGUCAUAAAGUAAAUGAUUCAACAAGAACAUCUCCUUCCAAAUGCAGUGUCUGUUCUUCCACAUCACUUGGGGUCUCGCUGCUUUAUCUUACAAAAAUGGAAGGAGUCUCUGUCAGCCCGUUUUUUCUUUGUGUCUGUCUGUUUUUGAUUUUCUGGGUCAUCCGAUUGACUUCACACUUGGUGGAUGUAUUACUGAGGAAGGCGAAGUGUGUCUGAGAUCUAAGCGACAUAUUUAUUAGUAGUGUGUUCUGUACACACUGUCAGCCUUACAGACAGGGUGAGGAGUUUCGGGUCUUACAUAGGUGCCAGUUGAGGUGUUGGGCAUCUGAUCAGGAUGCCUCCUGGGUGCCUUCUUUAAGAAGUUUUCUGGGCACGUCUAACUGGUAAGCGGC
Molecule: long non-coding RNA, 1917 nt
Organism: Centropristis striata (black sea bass)
Lineage: Eukaryota; Metazoa; Chordata; Actinopteri; Perciformes; Serranidae
Exons: 3
Source: RefSeq, a predicted model, not a curated record